Molecule: long non-coding RNA, 305 nt
Filed under: Carica papaya (papaya)
Lineage: Eukaryota; Viridiplantae; Streptophyta; Magnoliopsida; Brassicales; Caricaceae
Description: long non-coding RNA (CPAP_LNC002960)
Source: RNAcentral
CACCGGAGAAGACGCCACACCCGAGAGCACCGCCGCCGGUAAGUCUCAGUUUUUCAUAAUUUUUUGGCCUACCGAGGACCCUAUGGUUGUUUUAUCGUAGGAACCUAUGCAAGUUUGGCCGAAUUCGGCCGAAAACGGCCAACCCGAGGCAGAUCGCUGCCGCAGAUGGCGGUACCGUCGCUGGAGAAUUCCAAUAUUGGCCGAAAAGGGGCCUGGGUCUGAUUUGGGAUUUUUUUGGGACAUGUACAGGUACCGGUAGUGUAUUUCAGUUUUCCGACAAAAAAUUCAGGGAAUUUAGGGACAGC